UUACCGCAGUGUUCAGAAUAAAGUCGAAACUACUCUGUUCGUUCAAUAUGUGAACGGUCGAGAGUGGAUUUUUUUAUGAUUUCUUUUUUUAAAUAAACAUUUUUCUCAUGGUUAACCGAAUUUUAAAUCGAGGAAUUAUGACCCUAACAAGUACCCCGUGUGACCUGAGUACCAUGAGUCUGUUUCAAGACCUGAAACUGAAGAGGCGCAAAAUAGAUUCGAGGUGUAGCAGUGACGGUCAGACUUGGAAUAAAUACCAGGCGUGAAGUACUCGAACACUUAGUCAAUCGCAGUAAAUAUUUC
Molecule: long non-coding RNA, 303 nt
Organism: Daktulosphaira vitifoliae (grape phylloxera)
Lineage: Eukaryota; Metazoa; Arthropoda; Insecta; Hemiptera; Phylloxeridae
Exons: 3
Source: RefSeq, a predicted model, not a curated record